CGUGUGAGCCGGGAGCCCUUAUCCCCAUUACCAUCCCACUUGACGGUUAUAGCCCCAACUGUUUUUCUUUUUUCAUUUUGAAACUCAAAUAAAUCUUCACCAGCAGACUCCUUCCUCUAUAAAUCCGCAAAACCAAACACCUUCUUCUAUAAUUCCUCACGAUCAAACACCCUGUUCUGUCAUUGUACUCUAUUUUCUGUCUGAUACAUUUGAUAUGGGAGAAGAAAUCGAAAACCUGUGUUUUGACAUGGGUGCACUGAGGACCAAUCUUCCACAGAAGAGAGGGUUGUCGAGGUAUUACUCCGGGAAGGCAAGAUCCUUCACAUCCAUAGCAGACGUUCACUGCCUAGAAGAUCUAAAGAAAAAUGAACAUCCAGCUUCUAAGAAGAGGAAGAAACACUCAGAAAGACAGGAUAUACAUGCUGCCCCAUAUCUAUGUGGAAGAGUGUCUGGUGGCACCCAAUGCACUACACCAUGCUUGGGUGUGAAACUUUGAGCAUUAAUGGAAGGAUGUAAUCCCUAUCAGAAAUCUUUAGCGAGUUUCUUAUCAUUCUACAUAGAUCCAUGUAGAAGAGAAUGAGUAGAGUUUGGAGUUUUGGCUCCAUAUCAAAACAUGGUAGACUGUUUGGUAAUGUAAAUGUCAAUAGGAAUCUGAAAUGAUGAGCAAUUGAACAAUUUAUGAGAUUACCCAAUUCCAUAGCCAGUUCAACUGCUAGAUUUGAAGUGCCAAGAUCUGAGAGCAGGGGAUAAAAGGGGAGUAAAAGCAGCAAUUCAGAACAAAAUUUGAAGCCAGGAAAGCCUAGAGAGUGCCCUUUGGAGGGCUAAUGCACAUGCAUAUGCUGGAGCCUAACAUAAUCGUUCCACACCCCAUGAACCAUCAAAGGGAUUUUCCCAACACUGCAGCACGAUCACAAUAUAAGAGCCCAAAUUCAACAAGCAGAAACACUGGAACAGGCGUGGCUGCAAGAAACUCAAGACUACCUUUCAUCAGAGAGAUACGAACCUAUUUUCCAAAAUAUGGUGUUCUGGGUGGGGACCUGCAACUGAGUAGUCCAAAAAAAAAAAUUGAUUCAAAUUAAGUGAAAUUAUAUCUUGCAGGCUACUUGAUGAUAUGGAACAAUUUAGAUAA
Molecule: long non-coding RNA, 1129 nt
Organism: Vitis riparia (riverbank grape)
Lineage: Eukaryota; Viridiplantae; Streptophyta; Magnoliopsida; Vitales; Vitaceae
Exons: 2
Source: RefSeq, a predicted model, not a curated record